Molecule: transfer RNA, 101 nt
Filed under: Caudoviricetes sp.
Lineage: Duplodnaviria; Heunggongvirae; Uroviricota; Caudoviricetes
Description: tRNA-OTHER
Rfam family: tRNA
About the family: Transfer RNA (tRNA) molecules are approximately 80 nucleotides in length. Their secondary structure includes four short double-helical elements and three loops (D, anti-codon, and T loops).
Source: RNAcentral
GGGAUAGUAGUCAAGUGGUUAAGACCCUCGGAGAUGCAGAAUAAUCGUAAACAUUAAAAGCGAUACUCCGAGAGACAUAGGUUCAAAUCCUAUCUAUCCCA